UAUGCCUUGAAUGGUUUCAAAGCACACAAUUCCUUCCAGCAAAAAAACAAACUUUUCCCUUGUAACUAAUGUCUGAACCAAGCAGCUGGCGGACAUCAUUACUUGAGUUCUCGCUGAAACCCCGCGGUUCUAAGGCUGUUUUUCGUUGCAAUUAGACGUGACUGCGAUGGAAAGAUUUCAGAUGCUCUCUUUCACCUGCAGUUGUUGGACCACCAGCUGUGAGGUUUUACAGCCUGUUUAAUAUUUCAGUGUCCGCUGGCUCUCCAGUGACUGCAAAUCUACUAAUCUAGAGUACCUGGAUACAUCUUUAAAGAGCACCUGCUGCUUCUUUCAGUUCUGCAGAAACCCAGGCUGUCAGCAACAGCAAGGAUACCGCGACAGCUGGAGGAACGCAGGAAGCACUUGGAUGUUUGCGGGAAACAGGGCUGUAAAAUAAUUCCAGCUGCCUCACAGUCCAGCCGAACGCUGAGACCGCUGCUGACAUCUAAUCAGAUAAGGAUCCCACGCUACAGUUUAAUCUGAAAUAGACAGACAGACGCUCAGAAUAACUUUGGAAUCACAUGUGUUUCAAUGUCAAGGCAUCACAGUAUGCGCACUUCUGGGAUAAGAGUCCGGUCAAUCCUAUCAGUCAAUCAGAUGGCAACAAAAAUAUUACAGGGAGAAUGGAGUUCAUUUCUGAAUCAAACCUGCAAAAAGACCCGUGUUAUCGUAUAGCAAGGUGGGAGGCAUACUGUAAUUGGGUAAUAACAUCAUUCAUAUCUGCUUGUUCACUCAACACCCAGCAACAUUUUUACAUUACACAUGAUUCCCAGCUUUGAAAACAACCUUUCCCCAGGAGAGAUAUUCAUUUGAAGUUUAGUCUGUGGACCUUAGAAAUAACAAACUAGUGUUAUCCCCCCUUUCCUGGAAGUAGGCAGAACUGGUCUGGCUGUGAUUAGCCUGAAGGUCGCACAGGGAGUCCCCGUCCCCCCA
Acipenser ruthenus (sterlet) is the source of this 972-nucleotide long non-coding RNA. RefSeq lists it as uncharacterized. Lineage: Eukaryota; Metazoa; Chordata; Actinopteri; Acipenseriformes; Acipenseridae. The transcript has 5 exons. The record is from RefSeq and is a predicted model, not a curated record.